GGGACACGUGGUAUCCUGUCUGAAUAUGGGGGGACCAUCCUCCAAGGCUAAAUACUCCUGACUGACCGAUAGUGAACCAGUACCGUGAGGGAAAGGCGAAAAGAACCCCGGCGAGGGGAGUGAAAAAGAACCUGAAACCGUGUACGUACAAGCAGUGGGAGCACGCUUAGGCGUGUGACUGCGUACCUUUUGUAUAAUGGGUCAGCGACUUAUAUUCUGUAGCAAGGUUAACCGAAUAGGGGAGCCGAAGGGAAACCGAGUCUUAACUGGGCGUUAAGUUGCAGGGUAUAGACCCGAAACCCGGUGAUCUAGCCAUGGGCAGGUUGAAGGUUGGGUAACACUAACUGGAGGACCGAACCGACUAAUGUUGAAAAAUUAGCGGAUGACUUGUGGCUGGGGGUGAAAGGCCAAUCAAACCGGGAGAUAGCUGGUUCUCCCCGAAAGCUAUUUAGGUAGCGCCUCGUGAAUUCAUCUCCGGGGGUAGAGCACUGUUUCGGCAAGGGGGUCAUCCCGACUUACCAACCCGAUGCAAACUGCGAAUACCGGAGAAUGUUAUCACGGGAGACACACGGCGGGUGCUAACGUCCGUCGUGAAGAGGGAAACAACCCAGACCGCCAGCUAAGGUCCCAAAGUCAUGGUUAAGUGGGAAACGAUGUGGGAAGGCCCAGACAGCCAGGAUGUUGGCUUAGAAGCAGCCAUCAUUUAAAGAAAGCGUAAUAGCUCACUGGUCGAGUCGGCCUGCGCGGAAGAUGUAACGGGGCUAAACCAUGCACCGAAGCUGCGGCAGCGACGCUUAUGCGUUGUUGGGUAGGGGAGCGUUCUGUAAGCCUGUGAAGGUGUGCUGUGAGGCAUGCUGGAGGUAUCAGAAGUGCGAAUGCUGACAUAAGUAACGAUAAAGCGGGUGAAAAGCCCGCUCGCCGGAAGACCAAGGGUUCCUGUCCAACGUUAAUCGGGGCAGGGUGAGUCGACCCCUAAGGCGAGGCCGAAAGGCGUAGUCGAUGGGAAACAGGUUAAUAUUCCUGUACUUGGUGUUACUGCGAAGGGGGGACGGAGAAGGCUAUGUUGGCCGGGCGACGGUUGUCCCGGUUUAAGCGUGUAGGCUGGUUUUCCAGGCAAAUCCGGAAAAUCAAGGCUGAGGCGUGAUGACGAGGCACUACGGUGCUGAAGCAACAAAUGCCCUGCUUCCAGGAAAAGCCUCUAAGCAUCAGGUAACAUCAAAUCGUACCCCAAACCGACACAGGUGGUCAGGUAGAGAAUACCAAGGCGCUUGAGAGAACUCGGGUGAAGGAACUAGGCAAAAUGGUGCCGUAACUUCGGGAGAA
This 1323-nucleotide ribosomal RNA is filed under the name Escherichia coli. RNAcentral's name for it is "partial 23S ribosomal RNA". It matches the Rfam family "Bacterial large subunit ribosomal RNA", at positions 419 to 1744 of the family's 2925-position model. Lineage: Bacteria; Pseudomonadati; Pseudomonadota; Gammaproteobacteria; Enterobacterales; Enterobacteriaceae. The record is from RNAcentral.